Non-coding RNA from Pelobates cultripes (western spadefoot toad), 490 nucleotides. The record is from the annotation of a GenBank genome assembly. Lineage: Eukaryota; Metazoa; Chordata; Amphibia; Anura; Pelobatidae.
UGGGUAAUGGGAGCGGGGAGGAGGACUCUGGGUAAUGGGAGCGGGGAGGAGGACUCUGGGUAAUGGGAGCGGGGAGGAGGACUCUGGGUAAUGGGAGCGGGGAGGGGGACUCUGGGUAAUGGGAGGGAGGAUUUAGAGUGACAACUCAACUCUGGGUAAUGGGAGUGGCGACGACAUGCAGGACCAGGGGUUAUGGAAGCAGCGACUCAGGGAAUGGAAACAAUGCCCUGGAUUUUGUUUGUCGCUGCGCUUAUUACCCAAGUUGGUGGGUUUGUGUAGUUUAUGGUUAAUAGUUUUGACCGUGCACUUUCGAUACUAUGAAAAGCUGGAGUUUGACGAUUCAUAGGGAUAUGUUCUUUGUAUGGCUGUUUAAUAGUCUCUAACAUCCUAAAAUCUCUUCUGAGACACCAAAACGCCCUCCGGGUUCUCCAGUCUCUUGUAACUUUGAGUACUUUGUAGUAAGGGCGCUCUUCUAAUCUUUGUAAUCUAG